This is a long non-coding RNA of Saccostrea cuccullata (small rock oyster), 259 nucleotides long. RefSeq lists it as uncharacterized. The transcript has 3 exons. Lineage: Eukaryota; Metazoa; Mollusca; Bivalvia; Ostreida; Ostreidae. The record is from RefSeq and is a predicted model, not a curated record.
UUUAAUCACCAUGUACACAAAAUGGUUUACUCUCUUGAUAAUCUCUGGACUGAUGACUAUUGCUAAUACAAAACAAGCGUACCCUUUUCAUUCAUUGUCAUGUGAAAAAGGAUGGCUUCAGUUCGUAUAAAGCUGCUAUUUGUUUGUUAACAAAGCAGUUAUUCUCAAAGAUGCAGUUAAUUAUUGCAACCGAGCUGGCGCACACAUUCUUGAAAUAAAAAGUUCCCAUGAAGAGAAAUGGGUUGACCUGCAACUAAAA